GCCUUAGUGGCUCAGCUGGUAGAGCGCUACCUUGGUAAGGUAGAAGUCGGGGGUUCGAAUCCCCCCUAAGGCUC
RNAcentral lists this transfer RNA (74 nucleotides) under Methanobrevibacter woesei. RNAcentral's name for it is "tRNA-Thr". It matches the Rfam family "tRNA". Rfam says of the family: Transfer RNA (tRNA) molecules are approximately 80 nucleotides in length. Their secondary structure includes four short double-helical elements and three loops (D, anti-codon, and T loops). The record is from RNAcentral. Lineage: Archaea; Methanobacteriati; Methanobacteriota; Methanobacteria; Methanobacteriales; Methanobacteriaceae.